Molecule: long non-coding RNA, 1989 nt
Organism: Oncorhynchus tshawytscha (Chinook salmon)
Lineage: Eukaryota; Metazoa; Chordata; Actinopteri; Salmoniformes; Salmonidae
Source: Ensembl
GAGGAGGCAGGUAGCCUAGUGGUUAGAGUGUAGAGGAGGCAGGUAGCCUAGUGGUUAGAGUGUAGAGGCGGCAGGGUAGCCUAGUGGUUAGAGUGUAGAGGUGGCAGGGUAGCCUAGUGGUUAGAGUGUAGAGGUGGCAGGUAGCCUAGUGGUUAGAGUGUAGAGGCGGCAGGGUAGCCUAGUGGUUAGAGUGUGGAGGAGGCAGGUAGCCUAGUGUUUAGAGUGUGGAGGAGGCAGGUAGCCUAGUGGUUAGAGUGUAGAGGAGGCAGGUAGCCUAGUGGUUAGAGUGUAGAGGUGGCAGGGUAGCCUAGUGGUUAGAGUGUAGAGGUGGCAGGUAGCCUAGUGGUUAGAGUGUAGAGGCGGCAGGUAGCCUAGUGGUUAGAGUGUAGAGGAGGCAGGUAGCCUAGUGGUUAGAGUGUAGAGGAGGCAGGUAGCCUAGUGGUUAGAGUGUAGAGGAGGCAGGUAGCCUAGUGGUUAGAGUGUAGAGGAGGCAGGUAGCCUAGUGGUUAGAGUGUAGAGGAGGCAGGGUAGCCUAGUGGUUAGAGUGUAGAGGAGGCAGGGUAGCCUAGUGGUUAGAGUGUAGAGGAGGCAGGUAGCCUAGUGGUUAGAGUGUAGAGGCGGCAGGUAGCCUAGUGGUUAGAGUGUAGAGGUGGCAGGUAGCCUGGUGGUUAGAGUGUAGAGGUGGCAGGUAACCUAGUGGUUAGAGUGUAGAGGUGGCAGGUAGCCUAGUGGUUAGAGUGUAGAGGAGGCAGGUAGCCUAGUGGUUAGAGGAGAGGGGUAGGUAGCCUAGUGGUUAGAGUGUAGAGGAGGCAGGUAGCCUGGUGGUUAGAGUUUAGAGGUGGCAGGUAGCCUAGUGGUUAGAGUGUAGUGGAGGCAGGUAGCCUAGUGGUUAGAGUGUAGAGGAGGCAGGUAGCCUAGUGGUUAGAGUGUAGAGGGGGCAGGUAGCCUAGUGGUUAGAGUGUAGAGGUGGUAGGUAGCCUAGUGGUUAGAGUGUAGAGAGGGGCAGGUAGCCUAGUGGUUAGAGUGUAGAGGUGGUAGGUAGCCUAGUGGUUAGAGUGUAGAGAGGGGCAGGUAGCCUAGUGGUUAGAGUGUAGAGGUGGCAGGUAGCCUAGUGGUUAGAGUGUAGAGGGCGGCAGGUAGCCUAGUGGUUAGAGUGUAGAGGUGGCAGGUAGCCUAGUGGUUAGAGUGUAGAGGAGGCAGGUAGCCUAGUGGUUAGAGUGUAGAGGUGGCAGGUAGCCUAGUGGUUAGAGUGUAGAGGUGGCAGGUAGCCUAGUGGUUAGAGUGUAGAGGUGGUAGGUAGCCUAGUGGUUAGAGUGUAGAGGCGGCAGGUAGCCUAGUGGUUAGAGUGUAGAGGAGGCAGGUAGCCUAGUGGUUAGAGUGUAGAGGUGGCAGGUAGCCUAGUGGUUAGAGUGGAGGGGAGGCAGGUAGCCUAGUGGUUAGAGUGUAGAGGUGGCAGGUAGCCUAGUGGUUAGAGUGGAGGGGCGGCAGGUAGCUUAGUGGUUAGAGUGGAGGGGCGGCAGGUAGCCUAGGUGUUAGAGUGGAGGGGCAGCAGGUAGCCUAGUGGUUAGAGUGGAGGGGAGGCAGGUAGCCUAGUGGUUAGAGUGAAGGGGAGGCAGGUAGCCUAGUGGUUAGAGUGGAGGAGCGGCAGGUAGCCUAGUGGUUUGAGUGAAGGGAGGCAGGUAGCCUAGUGGUUAAAGUGAAGGGGAGGCAGGUAGCCUAGUGGUUAGAGUGUAGGGGCUGCAGGUAGCAUAGUGCUUAGAGUGGAGGGGCGGCAGGUAGCCUAGUCCUUAGAGUGGAGGAGGCAGGUAGCCUAGUGGUUAGAGUGGAGGGGCGGCAGGUAGACUAGUGGUUAGAGUGGAGGGGCGGCAGGUAGCCUCGUGGUUAGAGUGGAGGGGCGGCAGGUAGCCUAGUGGUUAGAGUGUAGAGGCGGCAGGUAGCCUAGUGGUUAGAUUGGAGGGGCGGCAGGUAGCCUAGUGGUUAGAGUGGGGG